Long non-coding RNA from Mercenaria mercenaria, 5534 nucleotides. RefSeq lists it as uncharacterized. Lineage: Eukaryota; Metazoa; Mollusca; Bivalvia; Venerida; Veneridae. The transcript has 6 exons. The record is from RefSeq and is a predicted model, not a curated record.
AAGACAGACAGGAAGAAAAAUUCAACCACGACUAAAUCAAUAUUUGGUGAAAUAUUGUGCAGAUAAAGCCUGCCUGUGAUAAUUACGCAAUAAUUCAAGUUUACGUUUUCCAAAAGUAUUGUGUUUCAAUAAUAAAAUGGAAGCCUACAUUGAUGACUGCAAAAUAUUGAUUUAAUAAAAUAAUGCGAAAAUCAACGAGUUGAUUAAAUUGCAGAAUGGAGCCGAUGACUGUGAAAAUGUACUUAAAGUUAGUGCUUUUUGGCUUUGUUCUUGGAGUCUCUACAGGUUCAGCAAACCCCAGCUGUUACGAUUCAUUUACAGAUCUUUGCGAUGCAGAUAUACCUGACAUUCCAUAUUUAACGACAAGAGACCCAACAAUAAUGGUAACCAACGUAACGUUUCACUGGAAAUUUUGCGACGUUUAUGCAAUUAAUACAAGCAUGUGGUACAAGAGCAAAACUCCAAUGAGUACAAGUUGUCCUUCUAUGUUCAUGUGUGGAACAAAGUUUCCCAUCUGGAUGAACGGUCAAAAUCCGGAUACUCAUGACGGGCUGGUAAAUCGGACAUCUUGUUUAAGAGACUUUGACAGCUGUUGUCUACAUACUUACACAGUUUCGGCAAAUAAACUGUGGGGAGUUCAUGGCGUACUGUUUUGUUGAUCUGCCGUCAAAUUACCAUCAGAGAUACUGCUUUGAUUUGAAGAUACCGGAACCAAAUACUGACAUAACUCACACAUCUGCGCUUUUGCAAACUGAAGCGUUGUCCAAUGUCUCCUCAACAAAGAUAACACAGCCAGCAACAGCGACUACCUCUCUUCCUGGGACUGAUCAAAGUACACAUUACACGACAACUCCGAACACAAAAGUGCAUGUAAAAGGCAUGUUUGGGUUAAAAAUACAUUAACGGUAGUUUAAGCAAUACUUAAGGAAUAUAUGGUUCUUUAGAUUAGUAUUAGAUUUCACAAAAUCAGACUAUGUUUUACUAAGAUAUGAUGAAUAUCUGCCAGAUAUCCGUUACAGACUUUGACUGAUUUGCCCCUCACUAAUCUGAGAUUGAAAAAUCGCCUGGGUUGGUAAUAGAAUACUUUUUUUAGAAAGCCAUCCAGCUAGUUUACAGAAUAUCGAUGGUACUACCAGCUGUUUUUUAGAGUUCUACUUUGGUAUCUUGGAAAAGUCACAAUGUGACAUGACAUGCGUGUGUAUGUGUGUGUGUGUGUGUGUGUGUGUGUGUGUGUGUGUGUAUAUUUUCGCUUUUAGGACGUUGCAGUACGUCAAAAACAUGCUUAACAUCUUAACAUUAUUGUUUAAUUUUAUAUAAUUUAAUACUUUUAUAUUUCUGUCUAAUUAAAUUUGUCGUUUCAGAGCUGGAGACUAACCAUGAGUCAAAAAUUACUACAUUGCUAGCAUGUAUCGGUCUUAUGGCAGCAGCAAUUGUAGUUUUGGUAACAGUUAUAAUUCGUCGCAAGCGAAUGUCAAAGGUAACAGACAAAAUGAUGAAAGAUAAACCGCCAGCUGACAAGGAUAAGCCAUAUGAAACAUUGAGAAAGCCGGAGGUCAGUGUUAUUAAAGCAAACGCUCCUGAGGGCUUCUAUCGUGUCAUUUCAUACGACCAUCACGUUGAUGCUGUCCAAGGAGGUACAUACCCAGGCUAUGAUACCUUAAACAACAUUGACUAUACAAUUGCAGAACAUGACAAGGGGACACUGAACACAGAAAAGGAGUUGUAUGAAGAGGAAGACCGCUAUGUAUCACUACCUUAAGAAAGAGGAAGUAUGGGAUAAUGAAAUAAUUUAGUAUCGUUGUACUUUGAAAUGUUCAAAACAAUUUUUUAAGGUAAUUACCACUACCAAAUUUAAACAAGUAUUGAAAAUACAGACAACUUUAAAUAUUCGGUACAUUGGUGGAAACACAAUUAAAUCCUGUAUACAGUUUUACCUUUAUAUGAAUAAGGGCUAAUGAUAUGAACAGAUUAAGAACGUUUUGACACACGUUUAUGAAAUAUUACAUUAAGGUAUUGGAUCCCUAAUAGUAAUGUUUAAAAAAUAGCAUUUGCUUGGUAUAUUCUUAAAAUUGACCAUGUUUCGCACUGUGUUUCAAAUUAAUUUUUAAACAAUUUUUACCGUGCCGUUUCUUGUAAAUUUUGUAUAAUUUAUGGCAUUUCCUCAAGCUCAAGUAGAGACAAGUUUCAAUGUGAUGGCCACUAUCUAGAACGUUUGCAGAGAAUUCAUUACAGCAUUAACUCUGUUAAAAGAAACAUCAAAAUAUUGUUAAACAAUUAUAAAACACAAAAUAAAACUGUAAAUAUCAUUUUUUUUCUAGGAUGCCUCAAGUAAGCAAAUUUAAUGAGACAAAAUUCUCCAAAAUUGAAAAAUUAAGGUCGAACCCUGUGGGUCUGUUUUGAAUUUUGCUCACUUCAUUCAAAAAUAACCUUGGGGCAGAAGUAAAAUCUACCUGCAUUUCUUCCACAAUAUGUAAUCUAAAGAAUGAAGGCAAAAUAGAGAACUUUUACCGCAUGUUACUCAGUAUUUUUAAAGAUGUCUAACUCUACCCCUCCUGAUUGUGGUAAAUUUAGUAAGAAAUGGCUUACAAAAUGAAAAAUUUCCACUUUUGUACAAUAAAUCCAUAAUAAGUCUAGAAAAAGUAAAAACUUACUAGAAAAAAAGGAAAAUAUGGAAAAAAAAUUGGCCCCAGUGGGGCUUGAACCUACGCCCCCACUACCCUCCGCCCCCACCCCAUCCCCGCACCGAAAAUUGCAGUCAACGUAGGUUUAUGGUAAGAUUCGAAUACUCUUCAAUACUCUUCAAACAGGAGGUACUCUAUUAUGGGUCCAAUACCUUAAUUGUGACACAUCAUGGUUUUUGAACGAAUUUUCAUUCAAAAUGAGUUCAUGUAUAUUGUUUAAUAUAUAGAAUGUAGUACACAUAUUGCAAGUGACAUGUUAUAUUAUUCUUUUUUAAAUGGAUUAGGUUAGUUCUGCACGUUAGGAUCGAUUUUUCUACACUGUUUGAUUGAACCCCAAUUUUUUAAAAAAUUAGAAUAUGCUAAGACAGUUCUGCAAAUGAAAACGGUGGGGCCAUGUGCUUGUUUAUUUGCUACACAGACUGAGUUUUUUGAAACAGGACUCUAUGGAAAAAUACAACUUUCUUAUCAUUUUGGCGGUGAGAAUUUUUUUGUACAAUGUAGAUUUUAAUGAAACUUCUCACAGUCAAAACUAACGUAUGGUUUUUAAAGUGGUAAAAAAUAAAAUGUAUAGGCGCAUGGACUUUGUUUUUUAGAUAUUGUGCCAUGAUUUAAGUGAACCGCACAUUCAAGCUAAUUUUAAGACAUUAUUUUGAAAUAUUUAACGUGCCAGAAGUUUAAAUAUCAUCCGUUAACUUUAGAAAGAUAGUAGCAUUGCCAUUGUAAUAAAUUUACCCAUGGAUUGCCAUUUAUUCAUUAAAUGAUUUAAAUGUAUAAAAUUUUAUUGAAUUUAUGUAGCCAUAUGUACAUCAAUCAGUGUAUGUAGGUAAAUUUCAAUCAGAUUUUGUUUCUAAAAUGUAAGAUAACUAUUCGUAUAUAUUCUUAAAACUAUUCUAAAAAGAGAUUGACUAAACAAGUUUGCAGAUCAAGUUAUGAAAACACAUUUGUUCAGGAAGGACCUAAAUUGUCCACCCAAAAACUUGUAGUAUGGCUGCAUAUUACCUGUAUUAUAAGAAUGAUUUUCAUGAAGUUUUUGUGAGUUACAAAAAUGUUGAAUUCCCUAUGUUAUGUGUGUAAACAUCACAUUAUCUUUGGAUCUAUUUAUAAAUUAUAGCCUCGUUUCGGAGCAUUCUUCCGAAAAAAAAAUCGAGGAUGCGACGGGUUCGUAAGCAGUCGGAAAACAUACUUAAUUAUUUCGGUUUGAAAUAGGCAAAAAGUUUUUGUUUAUUUGUUAAUUAUUCUUGAACAUAUCCACGACUAUUUGGUCAGAUCCGAUACAGUAGGUUAUAUUUUCAGUAAAUAUGAAGUCUCAGCUACAAACACUGGUUUUCAUAUAAUACUCGUUCGGGCUUUAGUAGUGGACUUUUAACUUAUAUACUAUGAUUUUCUGCAUAGCACUGUAGCAAGGUUCUGUCAAAAACUAGGUACAAUAUGUAUGUUGCAUGUUCUUUAUUAUUUGUAUUAUUCACAUUUGAACCAGACGCAUUUUUAGAAUACCAAAUGCCAUGCUAUAAACGCACAAUUAUCUAAGCAAAUGUACUUUUACUGAGUAUAAUAGUUUACCUGUAAUCAAUGUCAUUAUAUGAUUUUGCAACUGCUUUUGUUUGAAUUCUUUAUUUUCGAAUAGGGAAUCCUUUCUUUCUUAUACCACUACCUUUGAAAAAUGUAAAUAUUCACUAUUAAACGGGCACAAUACUAUAAUCAUAUUUAAGUUUAUCCUAUACAUUGGAUGCAUUUGUGUAGCUUAUAUAAAAAUAUCAGUCCGUUAAUGCUUUAAACAUUUUCAUGUACAUAUAUACAAGUAUAUCAAUAUAUAAUUUUUGAUUUGGUAUCUGAGUGCAGAAAUGUUGGCAAUAAUUCGGAGUAACACAGUGAUACACGUACCAAACUAACAGUAUCUCGAAAGCUAGGGCGGGGGUCUCCUUGACCAAGUUGUUAAGCGCAAUGACUUCAAAUCACUCACAUUUCAUUGAUGUCGGUUCGGGCCUCAUUUGGAGCGUAGAGUUCUCUAGGCAAGAAAGUCAUCCAGCUGGCUUACGGAAAGACCAUGGUUCUACCUAGAGGCCAGCUUGGAUAUAUAAAAAUGCCCGGAGGACAUUUUUUCUACCAUCAAAAGCUUGAAAAAUUGCUAAAUGACUUAUAAUUUUACCGGCAUAACGUUAAUAUAUACCGAUAAAAACACGGGCCGGGAGAUUACAAAAACAUUCUCAUUUCUCUCAUAUUUCCUGCUUUUGAAGAGUCACGCCGACAAACUGUAGGUCAUUUUGGCAAUUUAAGAAGCUUUUGAUUUUGGAGAAAGACCUUAGGCGUCCUUUCAAGUUUCCUUUUUUUGCAUGGGUAAUUGAGUGUCCUUUACGUUUGGGGAAAUAAUGUAUUUACAUACCUUUUCACCGUAAAGUAAUAUAACCCUCAAUGUUUUGUUGCAUGUGACAAUAAGCUGAUAUUUAUGGACCAUAAUAUGUUUAGGCAUCCUUUUUAGCUUGAAUAUAACUUACGUCUUAUAAUAUACUCCUUUGUUAUUUCAAAGUAUAAGUGACACAUUUUAUGUACACUCUUAUACAUUGGUUUUAAAUUCAACUUUUGGUCUAAUAACAAUAUUCAAAGGAAAUAGCUUGAUUUUAAACCCUGAAUAUCGGAAAAUACCCAAACCGUUUUCAUUUAAUUUAUAUCAAAAACAGUUAGGCUGUAGUAUAUGGAUAUCGAAUAGCAUGAUAUCAUAUCAGCUCUUUUACAGAUACUCCUGAAGAGGACAAUCGACAAGUUUUAUACGGAAUUAUUAUUAAUCUCCACUUAUUGUAUCUGUAAGGUUACAUGUUAUUUGUUGACAUUGCAAUAAAAACCUCUAAAAUAGAAUGU